Molecule: ribosomal RNA, 457 nt
Filed under: uncultured bacterium
Lineage: Bacteria
Description: bacterial SSU rRNA
Rfam family: Bacterial small subunit ribosomal RNA
Source: RNAcentral
UACGGAAGGCAGCAGUGGGGAAUAUUGCACAAUGGGCGAAAGCCUGAUGCAGCUAUGCCGCGUGUAUGAAGAAGGCCUUAGGGUUGUAAAGUACUUUCAUCGGGGAGGAAAAAACAAAACUAAUAAUUUUAUUUCUUGACGUUACCCGAAAAAGAAGCACCGGCUAACUCCGUGCCAGCAGCCGCGGUAAUACGGAGGGUGCUAGCGUUAAUCAGAAUUACUGGGCGUAAAGAGCACGUAGGUGGUUUUUUUAAAGUCAGAUGUGAAAUCCCUGGGCUUAACCUAGGAACUGCAUUUUGAAACUGAAAUACUAGAGUAUCGUAGAGGGAGGUAGAAUUCUAGGUGUAGCGGUGAAAUGCGUAGAUAUCUGGAGGAAUACCUGUGGCGAAAGCGGCCUCCUAAACGAAUACUGACACUGAGGGUGCGAAAGCGUGGGGAGCAAACAGGAUUAGAUACC